UAUACUGUGAUUCAGAAAAUAAUUGAACUGAACUUACCGAUCUUUUCUUACUUUAUUCUAAGUUCUUUAUCUCUGUGCUUCUACAUUUUAUUUGGUAGGUAUAAUUGAAAUCCUCAAAGGAAUGCAAGAAUUGGGAGUACAUCCUGAUCAGGAAACAUAUACAGAUUAUGUGAUUCCAUGCUUUGAUAGUGUAAACUCAGCACGUGCCAUUUUGCAGGAAAAUGGAUGUCUGUCUGAUAGUGAUAUGUUUUCUCAAGCUGGAUUGAGAAGUGAAGCAGCAAAUGGGAACUUAGACUUUGUAUUAUCAUUUUUGAAAUCAAAUACAUUGCCUAUCUCGCUGCAGUCUAUAAGAAGUAGCCUACUGCUAGGCUUCAGGAGGUCUAUGAAUAUAAAUCUUUGGAGCGAGAUAACAGAAUUGUUGUACAAGGAUGGACGUUAUUGCCAGGAGCCUCGAGGACCAACGGAAGCUGUUGGCUAUUUUCUUUAUAACUUGAUUGACAGCAUGAGUGACUCAGAGGUACAGGCCAAGGAGGAGCAUUUGAGACAAUACUUCCAUC
This 557-nucleotide small RNA is filed under the name Pan troglodytes (chimpanzee). RNAcentral's name for it is "retained intron". Lineage: Eukaryota; Metazoa; Chordata; Mammalia; Primates; Hominidae. The record is from RNAcentral.